This 404-nucleotide ribosomal RNA is filed under the name Fusobacteriota bacterium. RNAcentral's name for it is "Fusobacteria bacterium partial 16S ribosomal RNA". It matches the Rfam family "Bacterial small subunit ribosomal RNA", at positions 355 to 776 of the family's 1533-position model. Lineage: Bacteria; Fusobacteriati; Fusobacteriota. The record is from RNAcentral.
UGGGGAAUAUUGCACAAUGGGGGAAACCCUGAUGCAGCGACGCCGCGUGAGUGAAGAAGUAUUUCGGUAUGUAAAGCUCUAUCAGCAGGGAAGAAAAUGACGGUACCUGACUAAGAAGCCCCGGCUAACUACGUGCCAGCAGCCGCGGUAAUACGUAGGGGGCAAGCGUUAUCCGGAUUUACUGGGUGUAAAGGGAGCGUAGACGGCGAAGCAAGUCUGAAGUGAAAACCCAGGGCUCAACCCUGGGACUGCUUUGGAAACUGUUUUGCUAGAGUGUCGGAGAGGUAAGUGGAAUUCCUAGUGUAGCGGUGAAAUGCGUAGAUAUUAGGAGGAACACCAGUGGCGAAGGCGGCUUACUGGACGAUAACUGACGUUGAGGCUCGAAAGCGUGGGGAGCAAACAGG